Centrocercus urophasianus (Greater sage-grouse) is the source of this 2159-nucleotide long non-coding RNA. RefSeq lists it as uncharacterized. The transcript is spliced from 6 exons. NCBI's taxonomy places the organism in Eukaryota, Metazoa, Chordata, Aves, Galliformes, Phasianidae. The record is from RefSeq and is a predicted model, not a curated record.
GCCGAGUGACGGCACCACCGGCACGGCACGUCUCGGAUCGGCGCGGCGGCACCGGACUUCAGCCGGGGGCGGAUGCAGUGUGGUGCCUGAUGAGGAGCCUGAGUCCCCAGCUCAGGUGUAAAGGAGAACCAGAAAUGUCACCCUAGCAGUUUUGAGGCGUCAUCAACCACCUGGGUUCGCUGCUCUGAAGCAAGGCACUCUGCAGCCACCAAGACCACCUCAGUUUCCCCUCCAUCCAGGCUGGCUCCAGAUCUUCAUCAGCUGGGCUGAAAACUACAGCAAUUCAGGAGCACUUGGCAUAUGCCAAGAGAGAGAGAGCUGGGAGCUGUCUGGCAGAACAACUUGGAUUCCAUGAGGUGCCACAUGCCACCCUUUUCCACCAAUCCUGGCAGUGGGAGGUUCUGUUUAAAAUCCAGCUUUGGAUGUGGUGAACUAUAGUUGAAUUUGGCCUUAGUGCACGGACAUGUUUGGAUAAAAUGUACCAACUCUUGUUGAGACUCACUGCUUGAGCAAUGCACAGGAUUCAUGCUUCUUCUCUGAUUUGCUUGGAAUUCUGCUCAGAAGAUUUUCCCAAACAGAAAAAAAUUCAAAAAUCGUAUUCAUUUUGGGAAACUUUGGAGGACACAAAGCUGUCCAACAGUCUGAUAGUUGCUGAAAUAUAUUCAAUCCUGAGGGACAAAAUGAGGACCUACAAAAAAAAGCAAGGAUGCAGGUUUGGAGUCAGAUUAUUUCCUGUCUCCUCAGAAGACAGAACAGCUGCUGUAAAAGCAAGACCAUGAGGAGACACAGCAGUGUUGCUGCCAGAUAAGGAUAGCAUGGCUGUUCAUUCCCUUCUCACUCACGCAGGACAGGGCCAUCAUUAUCUAGUUUAAAGCAAACAUGACAGACACUGCUAUUAUCACAUCAGCAGAUUGUUCAGUUAUUAUUGUUUGUAUUGCAGGAGUGCCUGGAGGCCCAGGCUGUGUUGCAACACUUAUUUGCUAUGUGCAGGACAUACUUUCAGGAGACCGUUCCCAUCUGGAAUAGCUUCUUCUGCACACACUAAGUAUCAGUAAGAAAAAAGGGACUAAUCACACUGUACCAGAGCAAAGGAAAUGCAGUUUACCCAAAGUUGUAACUGAGAAACUCUUCUACAGAGCUGUAUGGGCAGCAUCAUUCUCAAGCCAUGUGGAGAGACAGCAAAAUUAAUCAGCUGAUGUUUUUGCAUGUAGAAAGAAAAGACUGCAUAUGCCUGAAACAACCUGCACUAAACAUGGUGAUACAAGUGGCAAUUCCACUUGUUCAGAAGGCAGCCUGAUAAUGGGAGACUUAAGAAUUUUUGUACAUGUCUUUGCUAAUGAUCCCUUUAAUUACUAGCUAUAAAUCAUAUGGUAUGAAAACAUCACCAUUCUCAUUUCAAGAAGAAAGAUUUUGUAAUGCUUUUUCACUGUGUAAUACAUAUGGAUUUAGGGCUCUGUGGAUUAAAUUUGGCAAUUUCAGGCAUGCAAGGUUACUAAUCCGUACUUUGUCUACAUAAAAUCGAAAGAAGAAGCAAGGCAGCCUUGUGCCCUGGGGAUGGCUGGGGAAUUCCACACAUGCCUGUCUUCUGUAACUCUUGUCAAGGGUGAAAACAUUAAUGUCAGUGUUGCAAUAGUUACAGGCAGACCAAAGGGGCACACUUCAAGCAAAGCAAACGUGGUUUCAUUAAGUAUUUCUCUGUUUUCACCUCACAGUUAUUUUUUUGACACCUCUGUUCUCCCAGUUUCCUGAUGUUUUAAAGUAUGUAUUUGUCACAUUUAAUUCUGUUUUCCUGUAAUAGCUUCAUCCGCAGAGAUUUCUCUUGGAGAACGGCCCAGAGAUUUUUUUGUUUCUUCUUACAUUUCUAUUUUCUCUGCAUCUGCUGUUACAUCAUCUAUAUGGCUUAUAUACACAUAAUUUUAGUUUUUAUGUCAAACUUAUAAUGCCACAAUCAGGCUGUCUAAAUGACUAAGUCCUGAGGAAUUUAUUUAGGCAAAAUUUGCACAGAAUUGUCUGUGAUUUCUUUAAUAAGUUGAAUGCUGCAAUAUUUCUGGUAGGUAUGCCAAAAUAAUAUAGGUAUAAGAAUAGAGCAUUAGUAAAAAUCAUUUCAGGAGCCAGUAAAGUAAAUCACAUUGUGCAGCUUUAACAAGGUCAAUGAUGAA